AGACACUUAGUUUAAACAAAACAUUUGAUUUCGGCUCAAAAACUUGAGGUUAAAUUCCGCAAGUGUCUU
This 69-nucleotide transfer RNA is filed under the name Stethojulis strigiventer (three-ribbon wrasse). RNAcentral describes it as "tRNA-Arg". It matches the Rfam family "tRNA". Rfam says of the family: Transfer RNA (tRNA) molecules are approximately 80 nucleotides in length. Their secondary structure includes four short double-helical elements and three loops (D, anti-codon, and T loops). The record is from RNAcentral. Lineage: Eukaryota; Metazoa; Chordata; Actinopteri; Labriformes; Labridae.